CUAGUGGUUGUGGGGCGGCUAUUUAUAGCCUGGGAGCAACCCAACAUGAUUUGACAUAAAUGCCCUUUAAUAAUAUGACCGUUGGGUGGAUAAGAUCUCUGACAAGUGGCGCAUGGCGUGACAACGGUCGGAACUUUCAACUGUGAAAGUCCUCAUGUCUCUCAUAUUCCUUACUUUGAGGCUCUGAUAGAUGUAGGUUUGGGUUGAGCAUCAUAAGGAAAUCCGUUUCAUAGUUUUACCUCGACCCCCUUUAACUGUACGGUGUUCCUAUGAAUCAAGUGUAAAGAAAAUGAAACAGAAAGGGUAAAUCUUCAAGCUUCAAAGUUUUUCUUCUGGACACACUGACUUCCUCAUCUUGAAUAUGUUCAUGAGGAAUAUCAAUUUCUUCACAAUUUUUUGCGAUCAAAGUCUUCAAGGAAUGACCAAAGUCUUCGCCCGAAGACAUACAUUUUUUAGGAGUCGAUUUUCAAUGCAUAACUCAAACUUCUUAGGGACUUAUAGAGCCUGUGUACACU
Molecule: long non-coding RNA, 515 nt
Filed under: Hordeum vulgare
Lineage: Eukaryota; Viridiplantae; Streptophyta; Magnoliopsida; Poales; Poaceae
Description: long non-coding RNA (HVUL_LNC018678)
Source: RNAcentral